GCCCUGGUGGUGCAGUGGUUAAGCACUCAGCUGCUAACUGAAAGGUUGUGGUUCGAACCCACCAGCAGCA
This 70-nucleotide transfer RNA is filed under the name Loxodonta africana (African savanna elephant). It matches the Rfam family "tRNA". Rfam says of the family: Transfer RNA (tRNA) molecules are approximately 80 nucleotides in length. Lineage: Eukaryota; Metazoa; Chordata; Mammalia; Proboscidea; Elephantidae. The record is from Rfam by way of RNAcentral.